GAGCUUGUCGCGUGAGGAGGCGUGCAGUGCGCGCACAAGCAGUGGUCCCGGCGCUGAAAGGCAGAGAGCGACAGUCCAGAGCCGGCCAAGGGAGUAAGUAGACCGCGAAAAGCCGGCGUCGCACACAGCCCGGGAACCAGGAACUUAGAUGAGAAGAACACGCCGCCGAAUGAAGAACUGCGCCUGCGCACGACUACGUCAGGACAGCGCGCCGAGAGGGACAAACUUCCUGCUCCGGCAAUUUCCUAGAUGGGCGUGACUCCCGGCAACGUGCAAUCUUGGGAUUCGAGUGCUGGGAAAGGAAGAGCCUAAUCCUGAACCGUGCGUUUACAGCAAAGGAUUCCACACCAAGCCCAUCCACCUGCUUGAAGACUCCAGGACCUUCCUCUUACCAUUUCAGAGCCUCUUUCAAACCAAUUCCUGUGCCUUAGAUGCCCUGCUUUCCCUGAUCUUUACACUGGCCCUGUCCUUUGGCAAACUUCUACUUAUAAACACAGACAAGUGGAAAUGAAAUAAAGACCACACAGAAAAGAGAGUCCCC
Mus musculus (house mouse) is the source of this 541-nucleotide long non-coding RNA. RefSeq annotates it as predicted gene, 36429. NCBI's taxonomy places the organism in Eukaryota, Metazoa, Chordata, Mammalia, Rodentia, Muridae. The transcript is spliced from 2 exons. The record is from RefSeq and is a predicted model, not a curated record.